UGGCACUAUGGUGGACCGUUUCCCUCACUGAUGUGGCAAUAUGGCGGCUCGUCCCUCGUGUAAUCACAAAACUGGCCAGCAAGUUUCCUCAGAAGUUACUGGUUCAUCUCCUUGGAAAUCACACCUCUGUAAUCUUGCUGUGAAGCAAGAGGUAGCCCAGGAACUGAGUUUUUCCUGCCCUGAGCCACAAUCUGUUCUGGCCAGCUUGGACACCUUACACAGCACCUAUCAGAAGUUUCUAGAAUUUGUCAAGCUCUUCGGGCUGAGGGUGCCUGUUCAUUGGCAGUGUCUGAAAAGAUGCCUUGAGUUGAUUCUGACUCAUGGCAGCCCCAUGUGUGGAAGGAUGCCUCUGAUUGGUGAUGAUCUUAAGAAUUGGGACAUCCAAGUAAAGAGAAGGUGAUCCUCCUCAGACCUUAAUGUGGGCCUAGUUUCUUGCAUCUUGUGACGAGUUCGUUCCUAGGCCAGCCUUGUCAUUUAAACACCUUGGAUGUGUGCUCACGUGGGAAUGGUAAUGUACUGCAAUUUCUUACGGUGGUGUUUCCGUGGCAGACUUGUUUUUGCAGUAAAUGUGUAUUCAUGUCUCUUUGGAAGAGACAUCAACCUCCUAGAAAGGAUGAGGAUGAUGUAGCUGGCGGUGGGAUGAGAAUAAGAAAAUAGCUCACUUCUUGCCAUCUGCUAUCUCACUUAAACCUCUCAAACCCCUGUGACAUUUGAAAAGUGAGAUUACUGAUGGGCAGGAAAGAGUCGUACCUUGCACGGGGGCACAAAGCCAAUGGUUAGGAGGGGUGCCCCUCAAAAACCAAGUGUAGCUGACCUCAAAUCCCGUGGUAUUGGGCACUAAGUUGAGAGAUACUCUUUUAAUGCAGCCUUUUAGUGCUCACCAAAUUAGUUGUUGCCUUCCUGCCACCCCUUCAUGCACUCUUCUGCUGACUCUACUCUGCCAGUUGGUGGGAACAAAACAGUUACCUGGGUACUGUCAGUGAUUGGUGACUGAGGCUGGUGACUUUUGAGUUCUCACGGGCUUCUAGGGAUGAGACUGGAGGUCCAGGACUGUCCCGGGUCAGGGCUCCAGAUGGGCUGCUCACCCCCUCCUACCUCAUUGUCGAAGAGGACACAGAGCCUCAGGCCUUCGCUGCCACCUUCACUCUGGUUCCCUGCCUCAGUUGAUUGUUUUUUCUUUAAUAAGAAUUACAGAGGUUAGAGCCUCAGAAAGGGGAGGCGCUUUGUGAUCAGGAAAGAUGAAAUGACAAAUGCUCCCUCACUUUCAGGGGCAACAGAUGGGGGGGGGAGGGAUGUGAACCACAUCCUCUUUAAAACUGCUCUGUUUGAAGUAGGAUAAAGCAGACAGUUUGGAGGACAAGGACCUUGGUGUGAAAGGUGUGAUAGCUGGGGCAUGGAGAAUUUUAUGUCCUGGGGAAGGAAUUGGUAAUGGCCUGUUCUCAGACUUUUAUAUUCUUACAGUAUCACUAAACAAGAUGAUUUCACACCGCAGAAAAAUGGGGCACUAGGAAACAUGAGGACUCCUAUACACACCCUGUGUCCUGCCAUUGUUGAAAUGUUUGGUAGGCACAAAACCUUUGUAAGCUGUAACAGUUCCUGAAUUCUGAUUAAGUUUAUGGGGAUGCAGUGUGAUUUGUAUCCAAGCAUUUCUCUAGUAGCUCGAUGCACCCUUCUGCUGACCAUACUCUGCACGUUGGGGGAACUAAAAGUUACCUGGGGCCUGCCUAUAGUAUGCACCCUUCUGCUGACCAUACUC
Long non-coding RNA from Trichechus manatus latirostris (Florida manatee), 1756 nucleotides. RefSeq lists it as uncharacterized. The record is from RefSeq and is a predicted model, not a curated record. Lineage: Eukaryota; Metazoa; Chordata; Mammalia; Sirenia; Trichechidae. The transcript is spliced from 3 exons.